CCUACGGGAGGCAGCAGUGGGGAAUCUUGCGCAAUGGGCGAAAGCCUGACGCAGCAACGCCGCGUGCGGGAAGAAGGCCUUCGGGUUGUAAACCGCUUUCAGAAGGAACGAAACUGACGGUACUUUCAGAAGAAGGUGCGGCCAACUACGUGCCAGCAGCCGCGGUGACACGUAGGCACCAAGCGUUGUCCGGAUUUAUUGGGCGUAAAGAGCUCGUAGGCGGUUCGGUAAGUCGGAUGUGAAAACUUUGGGCUCAACCCAAAGCGUGCACUCGAUACUGCCGUGACUGGAGUUCGGUAGGGGAGCGGGGAAUUCCUAGUGUAGCGGUGAAAUGCGCAGAUAUUAGGAGGAACACCGGUGGCGAAGGCGCCGCUCUGGGCCGAUACUGACGCUGAGGAGCGAAAGCGUGGGUAGCAAACAGGAUUAGAUACCCUGGUAGUCCACGCCGUAAACGUUGGGCACUAGGUGUGGGUCUCAACCAACGAGAUCCGCGCCGUCGCUAACGCAUUAAGUGCCCCGCCUGGGGAGUACGGCCGCAAGGUUAAACUCAAAUGAAUUGACGG
RNAcentral lists this ribosomal RNA (563 nucleotides) under uncultured bacterium. RNAcentral describes it as "bacterial SSU rRNA". It matches the Rfam family "Bacterial small subunit ribosomal RNA", at positions 338 to 916 of the family's 1533-position model. The record is from RNAcentral.